UUUCUCUUUCCCUCUCCCUUCCUCUCUGAAAUCAAUAAAAAAAUAUAUGAAUAAAUAAACCAUAGUUCUAUUGAUAAAAUAAAUUUUCAUUUGGAAGAUUUUUUCCCCCUCAACAUUUUUAAGCCUCUCACCAGACUGAGGGUUGGGGGAAAUCUAUAAACCCAAAAACAUGGAAAUAAUAUAUAGCAAUAUAUAUAUAUAAUGGCAAACUUAAGGACUGCUAUACUGAUAGAACAGAGUAUCUGAUAACAAAAAGGAACUAUCAAGAACUUAAAAAAAAUUUUUAAGUAAGGAAAAGGCCAGUUUCACCACUUGUUUAAAACUACUUUUCUACUUCUUGUUACAUGUGUGAGUCUGUUUUCUAAACAAAUAUAGUACAAAGAGAAUGAAAACUCUUUGGUAUAAAGUGUUUGUAUCUCAGCACAAGUGAGGGUGCUGUAUGUUUAUGUGAAAAUGUUUAGCUGAACACACAAAUAGGCAGUUAUUAGAAAAAUAAUCUAAUAAAUCAUUCUGUCUACUA
Molecule: long non-coding RNA, 520 nt
Organism: Pipistrellus kuhlii (Kuhl's pipistrelle)
Lineage: Eukaryota; Metazoa; Chordata; Mammalia; Chiroptera; Vespertilionidae
Exons: 2
Source: RefSeq, a predicted model, not a curated record